This is a long non-coding RNA of Vicia villosa (hairy vetch), 3146 nucleotides long. RefSeq lists it as uncharacterized. The record is from RefSeq and is a predicted model, not a curated record. The transcript has 3 exons. NCBI's taxonomy places the organism in Eukaryota, Viridiplantae, Streptophyta, Magnoliopsida, Fabales, Fabaceae.
CCUCGAUUUCCAUUAGAAGCUUCUACCGCUUCACGCCUUCACAUACCAACCUCGAUUCCUCAACAAUUCAUUAAUUUCCAUUUUCCAAAACCUGAUUAAUGUAUUCAUACAUAAUUUCAAAUGCUUCUCACUGCCGAAAUGCAUUUAUUCUUAUCAAUGAUUUAUGUUUUCCAGCUAAUGAUUUACGUUUUAGGAUUUUUCUUAUAUUCAAGAGAAAGUGCUUCCAAUCCAAUUCAAAUUUAAUACUUCCAACAAUGGAGAAAAAAAAUACUCAUUCAAGAAUCUUCAUAGCAGAGAAUAUUUCAGUCACAAGAAGAAGGUGCACUUAGUGGCUUGGAAUUACAUUGGCACAUAACUUGCUUCUGGUUCUGUUGAUCAAACUGCUUGAAUCUAGCAUAUUGAACCACAUCAUGUUUUUCAAUUGCAGGACAAGUUCAUAAUUCACAUCUUCAAAAACUCUUUUUUUAUCGUUCUUUUUUAAAAGUUUGUUUAUUUAUUUGUUUUUCUGUUUUGGGUUUCUAUUAUAUUGUUGCAUUGUUGCUUGAGAAUGGAGCUGAUGUUAAUUCAAAAAAUUAUUCUCGCAAGGUAUCUCUCUAUGGCCCUUUUUUGAUUUGAAACAAAAAUUGUAGUAUCAUAUGAUUAUUCUAAUGAAUGAAAUAUUUACAAUUAGUGUAGAAAUUUAAAUAUUUGAUAUUGGAAUUCAGAUGCUAAAGAUGGGAACUCUCCUCAGCAACCUCAACCUAAUAGUUACAUAUCUAACGUUGCUCCAGAGAGUAAAUUUAAUUUCAAGCUUUAGCUUUAUGAAUAACUGUAAUAUCGCAAAAUAAUUGAGGCCUACUUUGAUAUUUCUUAAAAAUUUGUAUUUCUGUUAAUAAUAUUGGCUUAACAGCUCCAAUUUGAAACUUCUGCCAUUGUUUCAGUUUCUUUUUUGUGCUAAAGCGUAAGAAGUAGCAGAGCUGCGCGAGAAGAGAGGUGCUUUGAAAUUUCCUCUACAAUUUGCCAGUGUAUCGAGGUCUGAUUUACAAAGUUCAAUGGAUGGAUGUCUUGCUUCCGUUCAUGAAUACAAAAUCCCGCCUAAAGCUCUUCUUGGAUUGCAUUCCUAUUGUCAUGUUUACUUUGAUGCUUUCCAUUCGGUCAUUGUUGAUACUCGUGUUCACAUCAGUCUAUAAAAUAUUUAUGAAUGAGCACUUAUGUCUCUGGAAUAUAUUUAUGAAAACCAAUAUGACAAUAAUGCUGAUUAGAAGCAAGUGCGAUCUUGCUCACAAACGGGAUGUAAACACUGAAGAAGGUGUUAGAUUCAAAUUAACAUCAUAGUACAGUUAUUAUCACAGACGGGCCUACUGCUCUCUAAUUAUUGCACGGCGGGAAGGCAAGUAGUAAAAGUUCUCAACAGUGAUGGGAAGGUUAUUGCAGAUGUUAAUUGAUUUGCAAAGAUUCUUGAGAAGGAAGAGGAUGAUUUUGAUUAACUAUUUCUUUCAGGUUGAUUAUUCACAAUAUGCUUUUGAAUGAUUUUGUUAUAAUACAGUAAAUUGUUUGAAUUUGGUCGUAUUUUGUUGUAUAUAAGUUGAUGGGUCAGGGUCGUCAAGCUGAUGGGUCGAGAUAGUGAGAUAGUGUUAAGUUUCCAGCUGUCGAGAUUGUGGUAAGCUUUAAAUCGCAUGCUCCUGUUUAUUGAAAUUGAUGAUGAGGAGGGGAUUAGUUAAUUUUUGUUGAUUCAAUAUCAAAUAUUUUUUUUUUUUGCAAUACUUAGAUUAAGGUGUGAUGUGGAAUAAUUUUUGCAAUAUCUAUUUGUUGAUUCAAUAUCAAAUAUCAUAUAUCAAAAUAAUUUUUAAGUAGAUCUACACGACGAAAAGAGAGGCAUAUACUGGAUUUGAGUUUAAUAACCAAAUCUAAGAUAAAUUUGUGAUAUCCAUAACCUUGGUGAGUUUUAACACAGGCCGUUGUUUCUGAUGACAGCUGAUGCAUUCAUGUUAUAUUACCACCACUAUAAUGGUUAUUAUUUAUUCUUCUUUUACUUCCCUUUGCUCUCCUUCAAUUCAUUUUAUUCUUUCUAUUUUGUAUGGUUAGUCAAAUGUUGCAGAUAUUUCUGCUUGGGCAAUUUGGCAUGGUGUGUUGUACCAUUAAGCAAUUUCAUACCUAAGUAGUUUUGUUUACGAAUUUUACUAAUUUCCUUUUAAGCCAAAUUUCUUUGUUUUUUCUUCUUCCAGGAAAUGCUUUAACCCAUUCCCCUAGCUUUGGCAUAUUGCACUCGGUAGUUUGAAGGGAUGUCUGCCACAAGAGAAUCAUUUGCAGUACUUCAAAAACUAAGAGAGGGCUAUUUUGAUUCUUCUUUACCCAGGACACCCAAAGUGAUUUUUCCCAAUGAAUAUAUGGUGUUUCUGAUUUUCUAACUCCAUUUACAUCACAGUAAUUUUACAAGAUAAGGAUCAUGUGAUGUCCUCACCCAGCUAAACAAGAGUGUUAUGCAGUUAUCCAACAUCUCUGCAUCUUUCUUGUCAUAUAUCAUGCUUCAUUAAUCUUUGAUGAAUAUAAGAAAAGAGAGAUUGGUCCAUUAAUGUUUCGAGAUUGGAUUUAUGGGAUUCUUGCGAAUUUUUCAAAAUGUUGGGAUUGGUAGUUGUAGAGGUAAUUUGGGUGAGAGUGAGUAAGUGACGCAUUGAAAUCCUUCAUUAAUAUUUCGAAGUCGGGUUUAUGAGGUUCUUGUGAUUCUUAUAGAUACUUAGAAUGGUAAUCAUAUGGGAAAUUUGGGUGCGGUUCCUCGAGAUAUUGGGAGUGGAAAUCAUAGAGAAAAUUUGGGUGUACAUAGUUAUAGAGAUAAGAGUGCCUUAGUCUAUUCGGUGCAACAACGGAUUGGCCGUUGGUCCCUGGCAACGACGCCAAAAACUUGAUGCAUCCGCAAGCGCACUGACAUAUCGAAGUAAUAUAAAAGAUUGUCGAACCCACAGAGACCAAUGUCAACCUACUGUAAUCUAUUGUCGCUUUGUAAAUCUAAGGCUAAUGAAUGAUUGAUUAAGGGAAAACUAAUAACUAAAACUAAAAUAAAAUAAAGAUUAACAUGAAUAUAAGAAAAGAGAGACCGGAAUGUGAUUCCGUGUACUUCGGGAACUCUGUAACUCGUUGGCUUAUAGUAAUGUUAAAAAAAAAUUUAGUAG